UACGAAGGGGGCUAGCGUUGCUCGGAAUCACUGGGCGUAAAGCGCACGUAGGCGGACUCUUAAGUCAGGGGUGAAAUCCUGGAGCUCAACUCCAGAACUGCCUUUGAUACUGGGAGCCUUGAGUUCGAGAGAGGUGAGUGGAACUGCGAGUGUAGAGGUGAAAUUCGUAGAUAUUCGCAAGAACACCAGUGGCGAAGGCGGCCUCACUGGCUCGAUACUGACGCUGAGGUGCGAAAGCGUGGGGAGCAAACAGG
This 254-nucleotide ribosomal RNA is filed under the name uncultured bacterium. Its description in RNAcentral is "partial 16S ribosomal RNA". It matches the Rfam family "Bacterial small subunit ribosomal RNA", at positions 524 to 776 of the family's 1533-position model. The record is from RNAcentral.